AAGGCUUGAUCAAUUGUGUCACCGGGAAAGGUUCUGAAAUUGGUGAUUUUCUUACGAUGCAUCCUGGAGUCAACUGCAUAAGUUUUACGGGAGGUGAUACUGGUAUAGCCAUUUCAAAGAAGGCUGGAAUGGUCCCGCUUCAGAUGGAACUUGGAGGAAAAGAUGCUUGUGUUGUGUUAGAGGAUGCAGAUCUGGAUUUAGUGGCAGCAAAUAUAGUAAAAGG
RNAcentral lists this unclassified non-coding RNA (223 nucleotides) under Hevea brasiliensis (rubber tree). Lineage: Eukaryota; Viridiplantae; Streptophyta; Magnoliopsida; Malpighiales; Euphorbiaceae. The record is from RNAcentral.